Molecule: long non-coding RNA, 765 nt
Filed under: Setaria viridis
Lineage: Eukaryota; Viridiplantae; Streptophyta; Magnoliopsida; Poales; Poaceae
Description: long non-coding RNA (SVIR_LNC002581)
Source: RNAcentral
CAUGAAGAAGUAGCAGUAACAUUAUACACAUGCAAAACCCAAUAGAAUCCAUCACAAAUGAAUACGGACCGACCGACCACCAAUGAUGCCUCAAAUAAUCCACCACUACCACCCUACCAAAAGGAGGAAGGAAAAAACUCUGCUCUGUUCUGCUCAGAAGAGCUUGUACGGGGAGGAGGCGUCGAGAGGGUGGAUCAGGUAGGUGAGCACCAAGGCCACGAUCAUCAGCAGGUACGCGAUGCCCUGGUCAAUCGAUGUUCCUGCAAAAACAGAUCAGGCAUAAUUCCUUUAGCUAAGGAAAAUUAUCUGGGGGCGAAAUGUAAUAGUUGAAGCUACAGCAAAGCAAAGGACGAGCAGUAUUCAAGGAGUAAAUCUGCUCUGUAUCGUGUCAGGUGACUCACCGUCGCUGGUGGGCGCCGGCGCGGGGGCCUGCGCGGCGGCGAGGGCCGGCAUGGCGAUGGCGAAGACGAGCGCCGCCGCGACGGCGAGGCCGAAAGGAGUGGUUCUUGAUGCCAUGGCGGCUGGUGAUGGGAUGGGAGUGCGCGUGAUUCGGGGGGAGGGAGAAGAGGAACGAGCAAGAAGAAAUCUCUGUGGCCGAGGGAUACGCGCCUAUCUCUCUGCUUGUACGCAUGUGCAUUCGCUCCUCUCUCCCCCCUUUAAAACGCCUCUCCCUCCCUCUCUCUCUCUCUCUCUAGAGUCCAGACUCCAGAGCGUAAUAAUUUAGCGGCAACGGCUCUCUCUCUCUCUCCCUUCCUCUCUGUGUGU